CCCAAAAAACGACAGUCUCAGUUCGGAUUGAAGGCUGAAAUUCGCCUUCAUGAAGCCGGAAUUGCUAGUAAUGGCAGGUCAGCAUACUGCCGUGAAUACGUUCCCGGGCCUUGUACACACCGCCCGUCACACCAUGAGAGUUGGGGAUACCCGAAGCCUGUGAGCUAACAGUAAUGAAGCAGCAGUCGAAGGUAGAAUCAAUGAUUGGGGUGAAGUCGUAACAAGGUAGC
RNAcentral lists this ribosomal RNA (230 nucleotides) under uncultured bacterium. RNAcentral describes it as "partial 16S ribosomal RNA". It matches the Rfam family "Bacterial small subunit ribosomal RNA", at positions 1273 to 1500 of the family's 1533-position model. The record is from RNAcentral.